GAUGAACGCUGGCGGCGUGCUUAACACAUGCAAGUCGAACGGAGUUUAUGUAGAAUGAGUCUUCGGACAAGUGAAAUAUAAACUUAGUGGCGGACGGGUGAGUAACGUGUGGGUAACCUACCCUAUACAGGAGGAUAACAGUAAGAAAUUAUUGCUAAAACUGCAUAAGAUUACGAGUUCGCAUGAACAAGUGAUAAAAACUUUAGUGGUAUAGGAUGGGCCCGCAUCUGAUUAGGUAGUUGGUGGAGUAAAAGCCUACCAAGCCGACGAUCAGUAGCCGAUCUGAGAGGAUGACCGGCCACAUUGGGACUGAGACACGGCCCAAACUCCUACGGGAGGCAGCAGUGGGGAAUAUUGGACAAUGGGGGAAACCCUGAUCCAGCGACGCCGCGUGAGUGAAGAAGUAUUUCGGUAUGUAAAGCUCUAUCAGCAGGGAAGAAAAUGACGGUACCUGACUAAGAAGCCCCGGCUAACUACGUGCCAGCAGCCGCGGUAAUACGUAGGGGGCAAGCGUUAUCCGGAUUUACUGGGUGUAAAGGGAGCGUAGACGGCGAUGUAAGUCUGAAGUGAAAGCCCACGGCUCAACUGUGGGACUGCUUUGGAAACUAUGUAGCUAGAGUAUCGGAGGGGCAAGCGGAAUUCCUAGUGUAGCGGUGAAAUGCGUAGAUAUUAGGAGGAACACCGGAGGCGAAGGCGGCUUGCUGGACGAAGACUGACGUUGAGGCUCGAAGGCGUGGGGAGCAAACAGG
RNAcentral lists this ribosomal RNA (749 nucleotides) under uncultured Lachnospiraceae bacterium. RNAcentral describes it as "bacterial SSU rRNA". It matches the Rfam family "Bacterial small subunit ribosomal RNA", at positions 28 to 776 of the family's 1533-position model. Lineage: Bacteria; Bacillati; Bacillota; Clostridia; Lachnospirales; Lachnospiraceae. The record is from RNAcentral.